CAUUAAAAUCGUUAACCGUUCUCCAACAUUUUAGAGUAGAACUCUGAGUACAGCCAUGCCAGCAAAUAAGAAAUAAGCAAAACAAGUGCCAAUUUUUACAUUGCGUGCAAGCAUCUCCACCACUCUGCCCACCUCUCAACAUUGGCCUCUUAUCCAGAACAGGAUUAACAGUAAGGUGACCUUCGACGGCCACCAAGUUAGACAGGACCCCAGAACCAUAAAUUUGCUUGGCCUAAUUUACCAUCCAUUUGUGAAUAAUGAAGGAGACUUCCA
This is a non-coding RNA of Pelobates cultripes (western spadefoot toad), 273 nucleotides long. NCBI's taxonomy places the organism in Eukaryota, Metazoa, Chordata, Amphibia, Anura, Pelobatidae. The record is from the annotation of a GenBank genome assembly.